Molecule: ribosomal RNA, 988 nt
Filed under: metagenome
Description: bacterial LSU rRNA
Rfam family: Bacterial large subunit ribosomal RNA
Source: RNAcentral
AACUAUAACGGUCCUAAGGUAGCGAAAUUCCUUGUCAGGUAAGUUCUGACCCGCAUGAAUGGCGUAAUGAUUUGGGCACUGUCUCAACGAUGCACCCGGUGAAAUUGUAGUACUUGUGAAGAUGCAAGUUACCCGCGACUAGACGGAAAGACCCCAUGGAGCUUUACUGUAGAUUGCUACUGGGACUCGAUAUCGUAUGUACAGAAUAGGUGGGAGACAAUGAAGUGUUGGCGUCAGUUGACAUGGAGUCACAAUGUGGAAUACCACUCUUACGAUGUUGGGUUUCUAACGAUAUCCCGUGAUCCGGGAGUCGGACAAUGGCAGUCGGGCAGUUUGACUGGGGCGGUCGCCUCCUAAAGAGUAACGGAGGCGUUCAAAGCUUACCUCAGUACGGUUGGAAAUCGUACAAAGAGCAUAAAGGUAUAAGGUAGGUUAACUGCGAGACGUACAGGUCGAGCAGAUACGAAAGUAGGACUUAGUGAUCCCGCGGUAGAAUGUGGAAUUGCCGUGGCUCAACGGAUAAAAGUUACCCUGGGGAUAACAGGCUUAUCUCCCCCAAGAGUUCACAUCGACGGGGAGGUUUGGCACCUCGAUGUCGGCUCAUCGCAUCCUGGGGCUGUAGUCGGUCCCAAGGGUUGGGCUGUUCGCCCAUUAAAGCGGUACGCGAGCUGGGUUCAGAACGUCGUGAGACAGUUCGGUCCCUAUCUGUCGUGGGCGUAGGAAAUUUGAGAGGAGCUGUCCCUAGUACGAGAGGACCGGGAUGGACGGACCAAUGGUGUACCAGUUGUAUUGCCAAAUGCAUAGCUGGGUAGCUAAGUCCGGACGGGAUAAACGCUGAAAGCAUCUAAGUGUGAAGCCUCCCUCAAGAUGAGAUUUCCCAUCCCAAGUGGAUUAAGACCCCUUGUAGACUACAAGGUAGAUAGGUCAAGAGUGGAAGUGCAGUAAUGUAUGAAGCGGAUUGAUACUAAUAGGUCGAGGACUUGACCAC